CAGCCGUAAACUAUGCUCGCUAGGUGUCAGGCAUGGCGCGACCGUGUCUGGUACCGCAGGGAAGCCGUGAAGCGAGCCACCUGGGAAGUACGGCCGCAAGGCUGAAACUUAAAGGAAUUGGCGGGGGAGCACAACAACGGGUGGAGCCUGCGGUUUAAUUGGACUCAACGCCGGACAACUCACCGGGAACGACAGCAAUAUGUAGGCCAGGCUGAAGACCUUGCCUGAAUCGCUGAGAGGAGGUGCAUGGCGUAGACGUCU
Molecule: ribosomal RNA, 261 nt
Filed under: uncultured archaeon
Lineage: Archaea
Description: partial 16S ribosomal RNA
Rfam family: Archaeal small subunit ribosomal RNA
Source: RNAcentral